GGUCUUUGACAUAUUUGAUACGGCAACAACAGAGAUAAUCAACGUGGGCGGUGAGCCCACAAGUGACUAACAAUAUAGCUUGCAAGCUUAGACCUAUCGUGCUAAGCGCUGACCCAGCAUAAGCGGUGAAGCCCCUAGAGGGUGAUGAACGCAGAGGCUGGCAACCCCGCCCCUCGCAAAGGGCUUGCAAGCGC
Molecule: non-coding RNA, 194 nt
Submitted as: unclassified sequences
Source: Rfam